UACGGAGGGUCCAAGCGUUAUCCGGAUUCACUGGGUUUAAAGGGUGCGUAGGCGGGUAAGUAAGUCCGUGGUGAAAUCUCUGAGCUUAACUCAGAAACUGCCGUGGAUACUAUUUGCCUUGAAUAUUGUGGAGGUGAGCGGAAUAUGUCAUGUAGCGGUGAAAUGCUUAGAUAUGACAUAGAACACCAAUUGCGAAGGCAGCUCACUACACAAUCAUUGACGCUGAGGCACGAAGGCGUGGGGAUCAAACAGG
Molecule: ribosomal RNA, 253 nt
Filed under: uncultured bacterium
Lineage: Bacteria
Description: partial 16S ribosomal RNA
Rfam family: Bacterial small subunit ribosomal RNA
Source: RNAcentral